AGUGAACGCUGGCGGUAGGCCUAACACAUGCAAGUCGAACGGCAGCACAGUAAGAGCUUGCUCUUACGGGGCGAGUGGCGGACGGGUGAGGAAUACAUCGGAAUCUACUUUUUCGUGGGGGAUAACGUAGGGAAACUUACGCUAAUACCGCAUACGACCUACGGGUGAAAGCAGGGGAUCUUCGGACCUUGCGCGAUUGAAUGAGCCGAUGUCGGAUUAGCUAGUUGGCGGGGUAAAGGCCCACCAAGGCGACGAUCCGUAGCUGGUCUGAGAGGAUGAUCAGCCACACUGGAACUGAGACACGGUCCAGACUCCUACGGGAGGCAGCAGUGGGGAAUAUUGGACAAAGGGCGCAAGCCUGAUCCAGCCAUACCGCGUGGGUGAAGAAGGCCUUCGGGUUGUAAAGCCCUUUUGUUGGGAAAGAAAAGCAGCAGGUUAAUACCCCGCUGUUCUGACGGUACCCAAAGAAUAAGCACCGGCUAACUUCGUG
RNAcentral lists this ribosomal RNA (490 nucleotides) under uncultured bacterium. Its description in RNAcentral is "partial 16S ribosomal RNA". It matches the Rfam family "Bacterial small subunit ribosomal RNA", at positions 29 to 507 of the family's 1533-position model. The record is from RNAcentral.